UGUUAUCAUUUCAGUAGUAGACCAGUUAGACCAUAGUGUUAUCAUUUCAGUAGUAGACCAUAGUGUGUUAUCAUUUCAGUAGUAGACCAGUUAGACCAUAGUGUGUUAUCAUUUCAGUAGUAGACCAGUUAGACCAUAGUGUGUUAUCAUUUCAGUAGUAGACCAGUUAGACCAUAGUGUGUUAUCAUUUCAGUAGUAGACCAGUUAGACCAUAGUGUUAUCAUUUCAGUAUUAGACCAUAGUGUGUUAUCAUUUCAGUAGUCUACCAGUUAGACCAUAGUGUGUUAUCAUUUCAGUAGUAGACCAGUUAGACCAUAGUGUUAUCAUUUCAGUAGUAGACCAUAGUGUUAUCAUUUCAGUAGUAGACCAGUUAGACCAUAGUGUAAUCAUUUCAGUAGUAGACCAGUUAGACCAUAGUGUGUUAUCAUUUCAGUAGUAGACCAGUUAGACCAUAGUGUAAUCAUUUCAGUAGUAGACCAGUUAGACCAUAGUGUUAUCAUUUCAGUAGUAGACCAGUUAGACCAUAGUGUGUUAUCAUUUCAGUAGUAGACCAGUUAGAACAUAGUGUGUUAUCAUUUCAGUAGUAGACCAGUUAGACCAUAGUGUGUUAUCAUUUCAGUAGUAGACCAGUUAGAUCAUAGUGUAAUCAUUUCAGUAGUAGACCAUAGUAUGUUAUCAUUUCAGUAGUAGACCAUAGUAUGUUAUCAUUUCAGUAGUAGACCAGUUAGACCAUAGUGUAAUCAUUUCAGUAGUAGACCAGUUAGACCAUAGUGUUAUCAUUUCAGUAGUAGACCAGUUAGACCAUAGUGUUAUCAUUUCAGUAGUAGACCAGUUAG
This 836-nucleotide long non-coding RNA is filed under the name Salmo salar (Atlantic salmon). RNAcentral describes it as "lncRNA (ENSSSAG00000092894.1, ENSSSAG00000099321.1)". The record is from RNAcentral. Lineage: Eukaryota; Metazoa; Chordata; Actinopteri; Salmoniformes; Salmonidae.